GACGAACGCUGGCGGCGUGCUUAACACAUGCAAGUCGAACGAAGUGGCGAACGGGUGAGUAACGCGUAAUCAACCUGCCCUUCAGCGGGGGACAACAGUUGGAAACGACUGCUAAUACCGCAUACUGAAGGAGGGGAUUGCGUCGGAUUGGCUAGUUGGAGGGGUAACAGCCCACCAAGGCGAUGUUUAGUAGCCGGUCUGGGAGGAGGACCGGCCACAUUGGGACUGGAACACGGCCCAGACUCCGACGGGGGGCAGCAGUGGGGAAUCUUCCGCAAUGGAAGGAAGGCUGACGGAGCAACGCCGCGGGAGUGAUGACGGCCUUCGGGUUGUAAAGCUCUUUUAAUCGGGACGCGGUACCGGAAUAGAAAGCCACGGCUAACUACGUGCCAGCAGCCGCGGUAAUAC
Molecule: ribosomal RNA, 408 nt
Filed under: uncultured bacterium
Lineage: Bacteria
Description: partial 16S ribosomal RNA
Rfam family: Bacterial small subunit ribosomal RNA
Source: RNAcentral